AGAGUUUGAUCAUGGCUCAGAAUCAACGCUGGCGGCGCGCCUAACACAUGCAAGUCGAACGAGAAAGUGGAGCAAUCCAUGAGUACAGUGGCGUACGGGUGAGUAACACGUGGGUAAUCUACCCUUUAGUGUGGAAUAACCCUGGGAAACCGGGGCUAAUACCGCAUAAUCCCGAGAGGGGAAAGCAGCAAUGCGCUGAAGGAGGAGCCCGCGGCCGAUUAGCUAGUUGGCAGGGUAAUGGCCUACCAAGGCAAAGAUCGGUAGCCGGCCUGAGAGGGCACACGGCCACACUGGCACUGAAACACGGGCCAGACUCCUGCGGGAGGCAGCAGUGGGGAAUCUUGCACAAUGGGGGAAACCCUGAUGCAGCGACGCCGCGUGAGCGAUGAAGCCCUUCGGGGUGUAAAGCUCUUUCGGCAGGGAAGAUGAUGACGGUACCUGCAGAAGCAGCUGCGGCUAACUACGUGCCAGCAGCCGCGGUAAUACGUAGGCAGCGAGCGUUGUUCGGAGUUACUGGGCGUAAAGGGUGUGUAGGCGGUUGCUUAAGUUUGGUGUGAAAUCUCCCGGCUCAACUGGGAGGGUGCGCCGAAUACUGAGUGACUCGAGUGCGGGAGAGGAAAGUGGAAUUCCUGGUGUAGCGGUGAAAUGCGUAGAUAUCAGGAGGAACACCGGUGGUGUAGACGGCUUUCUGGACCGUAACUGACGCUGAGACACGAAAGCGUGGGUAGCAAACAGGAUUAGAUACCCUAGUAGUCC
RNAcentral lists this ribosomal RNA (756 nucleotides) under uncultured bacterium. Its description in RNAcentral is "bacterial SSU rRNA". It matches the Rfam family "Bacterial small subunit ribosomal RNA", at positions 8 to 796 of the family's 1533-position model. The record is from RNAcentral.